Molecule: ribosomal RNA, 468 nt
Filed under: uncultured bacterium
Lineage: Bacteria
Description: partial 16S ribosomal RNA
Rfam family: Bacterial small subunit ribosomal RNA
Source: RNAcentral
GACGAACGCUGGCGGCGUGCUUAACACAUGCAAGUCGAACGGAAAGGCCCUGCUUUUGUGGGGUGCUCGAGUGGCGAACGGGUGAGUAACACGUGAGUAACCUGCCCUUGACUUUGUGAUAACUUCAGGAAACUGGGGCUAAUACCGGAUAGGAUCUCCUGCUUCAUGGUGGGGGUUGGAAAUUUUCGGCGGUUGGGGAUUGACUCGCGGCUUAUCAGCUUGUUGGUGGGGUAGUUGCUUACCAAGGCUUUGACGGGUAGCCGGCCUGAGAGGGUGAAAGGAGAAAUUGGGAAUGAGAGACGGACCAGACGGCAACGGGAGGCAGCAGGGGGGAAUAUUGCAAAAUGGGAGGAAGCCUGAUGCAGCAAAGCCGCGUGCGGGAUGACGGCCUUCGGGUUGUAAAAAGAUUUCGCCUGUGACGAAGCGUGAGUGACGGUAAUGGGUAAAGAAGCACCGGCUAACUACGUG